This 933-nucleotide ribosomal RNA is filed under the name bacterium KR 1979/121_57fa. RNAcentral's name for it is "bacterial SSU rRNA". It matches the Rfam family "Bacterial small subunit ribosomal RNA", at positions 53 to 1001 of the family's 1533-position model. The record is from RNAcentral.
ACCAUGACAAGUCGAGCGGUAAGGCCUUUCGGGGUACACGAGCGGCGAACGGGUGAGUAACACGUGGGUGAUCUGCCCUGCACUCUGGGAUAAGCUUGGGAAACUGGGUCUAAUACCGGAUAUGACCGCAUGCCGCAUGGUGUGUGGUGGAAAGAUUUAUCGGUGCAGGAUGGGCCCGCGGCCUAUCAGCUUGUUGGUGGGGUAAUGGCCUACCAAGGCGACGACGGGUAGCCGACCUGAGAGGGUGACCGGCCACACUGGGACUGAGACACGGCCCAGACUCCUACGGGAGGCAGCAGUGGGGAAUAUUGCACAAUGGGCGGAAGCCUGAUGCAGCGACGCCGCGUGAGGGAUGAAGGCCUUCGGGUUGUAAACCUCUUUCAGCAGGGACGAAGCGUGAGUGACGGUACCUGCAGAAGAAGCACCGGCUAACUACGUGCCAGCAGCCGCGGUAAUACGUAGGGUGCGAGCGUUGUCCGGAAUUACUGGGCGUAAAGAGUUCGUAGGCGGUUUGUCGCGUCGUUUGUGAAAACCCGGGGCUCAACUUCGGGCUUGCAGGCGAUACGGGCAGACUUGAGUGUUUCAGGGGAGACUGGAAUUCCUGGUGUAGCGGUGAAAUGCGCAGAUAUCAGGAGGAACACCGGUGGCGAAGGCGGGUCUCUGGGAAACAACUGACGCUGAGGAACGAAAGCGUGGGUAGCAAACAGGAUUAGAUACCCUGGUAGUCCACGCCGUAAACGGUGGGCGCUAGGUGUGGGUUCCUUCCACGGGAUCUGUGCCGUAGCUAACGCAUUAAGCGCCCCGCCUGGGGAGUACGGCCGCAAGGCUAAACUCAAAGGAAUUGACGGGGGCCCGCACAAGCGGCGGAGCAUGUGGAUUAAUUCGAUGCAACGCGAGAACCUUACCUGGGUUUGACAUACACCGGAAAACCGU